AUGACCGUGACGCUCGAGGAUGUCUCCUUGAUCACUGGUCUUGCUAUCGAUGGGAGGCCUCUCUGUAUGAGCACCGAUUCUGAUGGGUGGCGCCAGCAGAUGAUUGCUCUUAUUGGUAUGGCUCCUACCGAGGCUGAGGCUGAUGUAGAGGAGGGAGAAAAGAAGAAGAAGAAGAAGGAAAGGAAAGCAACCGGAGCUGCUUUCACGUGGAUUCAAAGGAACUUUGCGCAUUGCCCUGCGGAUGCCAAUGAUGAUGUGAUCCAGACACAUGCUCAUGUCUAUAUGUGCUGGAUGAUGUGUGUAGCAGGAUCACAGAUAGGGCAGGCAUUGGUGGUAAUAUGCUUCUACUUUCUAUAUGGAGCUGGGAGCGUCUGCCUGUUGGACACCCGAAGAGCGCGAAGUUUAAUCCUUGGGAUGAAGACGACGAAUUACGGCGCCCCACUUGGGCUUACAAGUGGGAUGUGGUGGCGGAGAUGA
Molecule: ribosomal RNA, 477 nt
Filed under: Triticum aestivum (bread wheat)
Lineage: Eukaryota; Viridiplantae; Streptophyta; Magnoliopsida; Poales; Poaceae
Description: partial small subunit ribosomal RNA
Source: RNAcentral